UUUGAUGGCGACCGGCGCACGGGUGAGUAACACGUAUCCAACCUGCCGAUGACUCGGGGAUAGCCUUUCGAAAGAAAGAUUAAUACCCGAUGGCAUAGUUCUUCCGCAUGGUAGAACUAUUAAAGAAUUUCGGUCAUCGAUGGGGAUGCGUUCCAUUAGGUUGUUGGCGGGGUAACGGCCCACCAAGCCUUCGAUGGAUAGGGGUUCUGAGAGGAAGGUCCCCCACAUUGGACUGAGACACGGCCAA
RNAcentral lists this ribosomal RNA (247 nucleotides) under uncultured bacterium. Its description in RNAcentral is "partial 16S ribosomal RNA". It matches the Rfam family "Bacterial small subunit ribosomal RNA", at positions 84 to 334 of the family's 1533-position model. The record is from RNAcentral.